RNAcentral lists this ribosomal RNA (682 nucleotides) under Actinomadura bangladeshensis. RNAcentral describes it as "bacterial SSU rRNA". It matches the Rfam family "Bacterial small subunit ribosomal RNA", at positions 71 to 768 of the family's 1533-position model. Lineage: Bacteria; Bacillati; Actinomycetota; Actinomycetes; Streptosporangiales; Thermomonosporaceae. The record is from RNAcentral.
AAGGCCCCUUCGGGGGUACUCGAGCGGCGAACGGGUGAGUAACACGUGAGCAACCUGCCCCUGACUCUGGGAUAAGCCCGGGAAACUGGGUCUAAUACCGGAUGUGACCAGCCUCCGCAUGGAGUGCUGGUGGAAAGUUUUUCGGUUGGGGAUGGGCUCGCGGCCUAUCAGCUUGUUGGUGGGGUGAUGGCCUACCAAGGCGACGACGGGUAACCGGCCUGAGAGGGCGACCGGUCACACUGGGACUGAGACACGGCCCAGACUCCUACGGGAGGCAGCAGUGGGGAAUAUUGCGCAAUGGGCGGAAGCCUGACGCAGCGACGCCGCGUGAGGGAUGACGGCCUUCGGGUUGUAAACCUCUUUCAGCAGGGACGAAGCUAACGUGACGGUACCUGCAGAAGAAGCGCCGGCUAACUACGUGCCAGCAGCCGCGGUAAUACGUAGGGCGCAAGCGUUGUCCGGAAUUAUUGGGCGUAAAGAGCUCGUAGGCGGUUUGUCGCGUCUGUCGUGAAAGCCCACGGCUUAACCGUGGGUCUGCGGUGGAUACGGGCAGACUAGAGGCAGGUAGGGGAGAAUGGAAUUCCCGGUGUAGCGGUGAAAUGCGCAGAUAUCGGGAGGAACACCGGUGGCGAAGGCGGUUCUCUGGGCCUGUACUGACGCUGAGGAGCGAAAGCGUGGGGAG